CCAUGGCGUGACCAACUCACUGACACAAAACCAGUGAAAUGGGUGGGGGGCUGUUCGAAAUAGGUCUUUGUCUUGUUUGAGCUCUUAAGAAAGAGAAACAGACUCAAUAGUGACAUCAAAUUGGGUAUUCUAAUUCCAGGUUUAUUUACAUAUUCAAUACCUCUUCAUUAUUUUUAUUUUUAUCAUUUAGGUGAACCAAUGGUGAAUCUGAUUGUAGUUCUGAUACAAUCAGAUGUAAAUUAUAUAGGUGAACUGAGAAUUGUCCAUGAACUACUCUUUGAGAGUGAUACUUCAAUGUAAACAAACUAUCUUAGCUGAUGAGUUAUUGGAACAGUGACGGGAAAUUUGUUGGUAUUUGUUGGUUGUUAAACCAACUAUAGAAAAGAGUGGAAUUGUUGUUUUGCUACACUAGCAGAACAGAAGCACCAGAAAUGUUAAUCUUUUAACGAUACUGUUACUGUUUACUGGUCUAAUCUAUUUAGUCAAAGGAAGAAGAAAGACAUUGGGAAUACGGUUUUGAGUGUUUGUUGGAACUGGGUUACAAGCUAAUGUAAUGGACCUAUUUGUGAUGGUGUACUGUGCAGUUACAACUAAUCUUCUCAAGGAUGAUUCACACUUCAGGUACAGGACACUUGAAAACGAUUUGACUGGUUGGAGCCCACAGAGACUGAGCUUGGCUUAAAGGAUAAGAGGCAGUUGGUGAAUCUUGGCAAGUGGUGAGACGAUAUAAGUGCUAGCCAUCUACAGCAGAGGGAACAACAUGUAUUUAAAGCUUUUAUAAAGUAUGGAGUGGAUCGCAACACCAUAGUGCAAACUGCAGCCAUUGCUGAGCUAGCAAUCGCAGCUCCGGAAAACUACGCUGAGGUCCUUGCAAAGCAGAGAAAAGGAGAGAAACUGGCCAUUAUUGCUCAACAGUGCCAGGAAUAUGCAGAAGCAGAUGAGACCAGAUAAGACAACUAUUAUCAAGAUGAAGACUGAAGGAAAGCUGCUGCCUAUGAAGAAGGGUUAAAUCCAAUUCCCAAACAUCCCUUUGUCUCUCUGUGCUCUCCACUUUUUAUGUUCUCUCCCAUCUUUUUAUUCCUGCCCCUUCUCUCUAUCUCCCUUCUUUUGCUUGCUUUCUGCUAUUGCUUGCCCACCGCCAA
Long non-coding RNA from Esox lucius (northern pike), 1142 nucleotides. The record is from Ensembl. Lineage: Eukaryota; Metazoa; Chordata; Actinopteri; Esociformes; Esocidae.